GGGGCUAAGCGGUUCGAUCCCGCUUAGCUCCACCA
This 35-nucleotide transfer RNA is filed under the name synthetic construct. RNAcentral's name for it is "tRNA acceptor stem mimic from synthetic construct (PDB 1NJP, chain 5)". The record is from RNAcentral.